This is a long non-coding RNA of Bufo bufo (common toad), 324 nucleotides long. RefSeq lists it as uncharacterized. The record is from RefSeq and is a predicted model, not a curated record. NCBI's taxonomy places the organism in Eukaryota, Metazoa, Chordata, Amphibia, Anura, Bufonidae. The transcript has 5 exons.
GUCUUGUUCCAUCUUGUGUGAUGUUUGGAGUCAAAACAGAGAAAAUCUAUAAAGGGUCCAAGGACGGACUGUUUAGAGCCUCAUUCUGUGCGGUCACCGGCAGAAGUCUCCACCAUGGCCUGCCAGGGUGUCUGGUGCUGUCUAGUGAUUCUCAGUGCAUUUCUGAUUAGAGGUUCUGCAGCAGAACAAGAUCAGUUUCACUAUGAUUAUAUGAGGCUCCGGAUGGGAGGUCUGAUCUUUGCUGGUGUCAUGCUGACUAUUGGGGUUAUUAUCCUGCUGACUGAUUUUAACCUAUUUAAAAAGAAGAAAAAGGAGCCAUGUAAA